Molecule: ribosomal RNA, 548 nt
Filed under: uncultured Glomeromycotina
Lineage: Eukaryota; Fungi; Glomeromycota
Description: SSU rRNA
Rfam family: Eukaryotic small subunit ribosomal RNA
Source: RNAcentral
UUGGAGGGCAAGUCUGGUGCCAGCAGCCGCGGUAAUUCCAGCUCCAAUAGCGUAUAUUAAAGUUGUUGCAGUUAAAAAGCUCGUAGUUGAAUUUCGGGGUCAGUAGAUUGGUCGUGCCACUGGUAUGUACUGGUCUCACUGGCUCCUCCUUCCUGAUGAACCGUAAUGCCAUUAAUUUGGUGUUGCGGGGAGACUGGACUGUUACUUUGAAAAAAUUAGAGUGUUUAAAGCAGGCUAACGCUUGAAUACAUUAGCAUGGAAUAAUGAAAUAGGACGUUCGAUCUUAUUUUGUUGGUUUCUAAGAUUGACGUAAUGAUUAAUAGGGAUAGUUGGGGGCAUUAGUAUUCAAUUGUCAGAGGUGAAAUUCUUGGAUUUAUUGAAGACUAACUACUGCGAAAGCAUUUGCCAAGGAUGUUUUCAUUAAUCAAGAACGAAAGUUAGGGGAUCGAAGACGAUCAGAUACCGUCGUAGUCUUAACCAUAAACUAUGCCGACUAGGGAUCGGAUGAUGUUAAUUUUUUAAUGAUUCAUUCGGCGCCUUACGGGAAA